GACAGAGGUGCCAAGCGUUAGGCGGAAUCACUGGGCUUAAAGCGUGUGUAGGCGGAUUCGUAAGUACCUUGUGAAAUCCCACGGCUUAACCGUGGAACUGCUCGGUAUACUGCGUAUCUUGGGCCAUCUAGGGGCUACCGGAACAAAUGGUGGAGCGGUGAAAUGCGUAGAUAUCGUGAGGAAGACCAGUGGCGAAGGCGGAUCUCUGGACAGUUCCUGACGCUGAGGCGCGAAGGCCAGGGGAGCAAACGGG
RNAcentral lists this ribosomal RNA (253 nucleotides) under uncultured bacterium. Its description in RNAcentral is "partial 16S ribosomal RNA". It matches the Rfam family "Bacterial small subunit ribosomal RNA", at positions 524 to 776 of the family's 1533-position model. The record is from RNAcentral.